GUAAAAAUGAAAAGUUAUAGUAUGGAAAUGAUAAAUAUGUAAUUUUCCCUCGUCAAAGUCAGAUGAUGGUUCAUGGAAUGAGAGGAAGACAAGUAAGCAUCAGCGCUAUUAUUCUGUAGGCUCUCUCUGAGAUCUGUAACUAAAUAGACACGUCAUAAAGCUCACAGUGUCACGUGAACACGAAAGCCAAAAACAAAAUUUUCUAAAAUAUUUCUUGAAAAUGAUCAUUUUUAGCUCUGUGAUAUUUCAUAUUUGUAUUAACUUAAUGGGUUAAUUUAAUAAAAGUAAUAAUAAUAGGACUGCAAGUUUGUCAGAAGUCGGACAUCAGAGAGUUAGCACGUGUAUACAUUAUGUUAGAUAUGGACAACAGAGGCUAAGUCUUGUCACGUGAAAUGAAACACCAGUUGGCGUGGGCUUUUCACGCCCUUUUUCUCUAAUUUCUAUUUCUCUUACACCAUCUCCAACCCAGACCGCAAAACACUGCAUUAGUGUAAUUUUUAUACUAAAACAUCUCUAACUCAACUGUAAAAAUUACAUUAUUUUAGUGUUACACUAUAAUUUCACACCAAAUUUAGUGUGAUACACUAUUCACCACACUAAAAUACUAUUCACUCCAUUAAAACACUAUUCAUUUAUUUUAUUAAUAAAAUGUAUAAUUAAAUAAAUAAUAAGUUAAAACUUAAAAAUUAAAAAAUAUAAUAUUAUAAAAUAACUUUCAGUGUGAAGUUUAGUGUUGUGGUUGGAAAAUAAUAUUUUUCUAGUGGAGAAACUACACCAAAAUAGUAUAGCUUUGACACUAAAAUAAUGUUAUAGUUUGGAGAUGCUCUUAAGAUAAACACACACAAAAACUCUUUUGCAAAAUUUUGAAAUUACACAUAAAUAUCCCUCCUUUUUGCGAUAUAUAAUUUUCUUAUCGAAUUUUGAGACAAUUGACCUAUUCGAACGGUCUAAAUUUUUUCCGGCUAGAGUAAAACGUUGAGGCCAGUCAUUGUUUUCAUUAAAAUUGUCUUUUUACUGAAAAAUCAUAGGAGUAUUAUAUUUGGACUCACUUAUAAUAAUUUGGUUUAAUUUUUUUAUAACUAAAAGUAUUUUUUACAUUGUGAAAAGUUAAAUAACUAGAGGUCAUAAGCCUUUUUUUUACAAGGCCAUAAGCCUAUAAGCCUGUAAGUGCAUCUAUUUUCAAAGAAAGAAAGAGACAUACAUUAUGUUUAUCUCUUUGGUCAGCAGUAAUGUUACAUCAAAUGGCUAGUUGUUUUUGGACAAAAAGAAAAACAAAAUCAGUCAGAGCUACUAUAUAGAUAGAGUAGUAGUGACGAGCUACUUUUGGUAUGAUAAACAAUGGAGUAACUAAGAGUGUGAUUGGUUAAAAUAGAGUAAAUGGGAGUAAAUAUAAGUUGAGGUAGUGAGAGGAAAACAAAAGAUGGAAAACAGAGGAAAGAGAAAAAUGGAACCUAGAGUAAAAGUUUUCUCUUGACUAAAGUAGAGUAAUGUAUUACUCUAGAUUUACGCUAUUGUGGAGUAAAUUGACUAAAACCACUUUUCUCUUGAUUGGAUGAUAUCAUCGUAAUACAGCUGAAAAAUUGUUUUACUCUAAUAGAUUAUCGCCACAAGUGCUUUACAGUCAGAGCUUAAGUGUGUGAUUGAAAGACACAACUAGCGUUAAUAUUUUCGCUAGAAAUUAAUUACGCUGGCUUCAGCUGAUGAGUUCACCAGUCAGGUGAAAAAGAAAAUAAUUUUUAUUUUAUUCUUUUAAUCUGAUUAGAGCAUGUUUACUGGCGUAGUUUAGGAGAGUUGCUUAGGUAAAUUACGAUUAAAAAUAAAUGAAAAACAUGAAUUAAGCAAAGGGACAUUGCCUAAUUAGCACCGCGAAGCGUCCGUCCCUCGGCGCCACGCGUCGGAGCUUCAUUGGAGAGAGGAGAGAGAGAGAUGACACGAGUUGCGUCUCUUUUCUUUCUUUUCCUUUUUUUCCUUCUUUCUUUCUUCCUUCUCUCUUCUCCGACGCGAUCAAAAGGCGAUUUCACUUCUUCACGGUGGAUCUACUCAACGAAACGGUGUCUCUCUCGGUGGAUCUUGUCGGCUAACGAAAACGGCGUUCCUCUAUCGGUUCCUCUCCUCGACCAAGAAAAACAGCGAGAUCUCCCUGGUGGUGGCUCUUGGAGAGGAAGCAAAUCGGUGACUGUUGAUGCUCAGAAAAAUCGAAAGGUGGGUUGAUCAAGAGACAUGAUCGAGGCUGGACCUUUCUCUUUGUCAGACAAAACACCCACGAUAGUUCAUGAAGGUGGAGAGAGUUCAUGGGAGUGGAGCUGUUGUCAAUGACUGGUCACGGGAGUGGAGCUGUUUCUUGUCUUGUAGUUGUCAGGAGAGUGGAGCUGUUUCUUGUCUUGUAGUUGUAGAGGCAGUGGUCAUGUUUCAUGUAAUGUUGAGGUCAUGUUGUUUUGUAGUGGUCAGGAGAGUGGUCAUGUUUCAUGUAAAGUUGUGGUCAUGUUGUUUUGUAGUGGUCACGAGAGUGAAAGCUUUUGUAGUGGUCACGAGAGUAGUGAAAGUUUUUGUCUUUUUGCAUCACGGGCACAUUAUCAUUCUCCUAUCUAUUAUAUAUUGUCAAGAGUAGCAGCGUAGUUCUCCCAUCUCUCUCCAUUGUCUUUCUAAACCAAGUCUAUUUUCUAUUCUCUCAUCUCUCUCCAUUGCCUCUCAAAACCAAGUCUAUUUUCUAUUCUCCCAUCUCUCUCCAUUCUCUCCAUUAUCUUUCUCAAAAAAAUCUAUCUCAUGGCAUCUUCUUCUCACAACAAUUUUCAAGACUCGUUUGAUGAAGAGUAUGAUCAAUUUUUUGAUCAAUAUUUGGAUCAGACAUUCGAGAAUUUAAUCAUUGCUAACAGUGAUCAAGAAGGCGAAAAGAAGACAAGAAAAAAAAGAGUUUUUAUCGAAAGAAACCGUGAAGAUGGUCAUUUCCGGUUGUGGAAGGAUUAUUUUAGUGACGCUCCAACGUAUCCAGAAAAUCUAUUCCGACGACGAUUUCGAAUGAACAAACCAUUGUUUAUGCAUACUGUUGAUCGUCUCUCAAAUGAAGUUCAAUUCUUUCGUCAGAAGAAAGACGGUAUCGGAAGGCUUGGUCUCUCUACACUUCAGAAGUGUACGGCAGCUAUUCGUGUGUUGGCAUAUGGUUCUGCGCUUGAUGCGGUCGACGAAUACCUCAAGCUCGGUUCAACCACUACUCGGUUAUGUGUGGAAGAUUUUGUGGAAGCAAUAAUAGAUUUGUUCGGCGAUCAGUACCUAAGAAGAACAACACAAGAUGAUCUUCAACGUCUACUUCAUAUUGGAGAGCUUCGUGGAUUUCCUGGGAUGAUAGGAAGCAUCGAUUGUAUGCAUUGGGAGUGGAAGAAUUGUCCCACCGCUUGGAAAGGGACCGACUAUCGUUUUAGAGGCGGUUGCUUCAUAUGAUCUUUGGAUAUGGCAUGCGUUUUUUGGACCUCCAGGUACCUUAAAUGAUAUCAAUGUUCUUGAUCGCUCACCUAUUUUUGAUGACAUAUAGAUGGUCAAGCUCUGCAAGUGAAUUUCUCGGUCAACAGAAGAGAUUAUCAUCUGGCUUACUAUCUCACCGAUGGCAUUUAUCCGAAAUGAGCAACUUUUAUCCAAUCUAUUCCAAUUCCACAAGGGCCUAAAGCAGUUUUAUUUGCUCAAAGUCAAGAAGCUGCCCGAAAAGAUGUCGAACGUGCUUUCGGAGUCUUGCAAGCUCGAUUUGCCAUUGUUAAAAAUCUGGCACUUUCUUGGGAUAAAGUCAAAAUUGGAAAGAUUAUGAGAGCAUGUAUCAUACUCCAUAAUAUGAUAGUAGAAAACGAACGAGAUGACUACACUCUACACGAUGUUUCUGAUUUUCAACAAGUAGAAGGAAGCGGAAGUUCACAUGUCGAUCUCACAUAUUCAACAGAUAUCCCUACUAAUAUCACCAAUAUGAUGGGUGUUCGAACAAGAAUUCGUGAUAGACAAACACAUCAACGACUGAAAGGUGAUUUGGUUGAACAUAUAUGGCGUAAAUUUGGACAUGAUCAAGAUACCAACUGAGUUUCGAUGUCUCUUUCAAAUUAUUAUCGUUUGUUUUAGUAAUCUUUGUUUUCAUGCUUUUAUGUUUCUAUUUUAAAAUUUAUGUUUAACUAUGUUUAAUUUAAUUAAUAAAUUUUAUAUUUUAAAAACAAAAUUAUGUUUAAUAUAUUUUUAUUGUUAAGCAACUUAAGUUAAGCAACUAUCAAUAAACCAAUAUCAUUAAGUGUUUCUUAAGAUUAUCUCUUAUCUUUACUUUAAUACGUAAAUAUUCAUUAACAACCACUUAAGCAACGCUAGCAAUAAACAUGCUCUUGCUAUCUAAGUGGAGGUAAAGUACCUUAUUUUUUUCUCAUGUACUUCUACGAGGAAUCAGUUAAGCUACUUACUAUUCUCUUUUUACUCUAUAGUUUUUACUCUAAAUUACUCUACUUUAAUUACUCUCAUUUAAUCCAGUGUUUGUCAAUCACACUCUAAAGUCUAAAUGUGUGAUUGGCAUUAACUAGAGUAAAAUGGUAGAAAUAAAAAAGUGUAAAUGAGUGGAAAACCAAAAAUGAAACUCAGGGUAAAUUCUUUCUCUCACUUAACCUAAAAAAAUGCAUUGCUCUACUUUUACACUAUUUUUCUCUUUCCCUAACGUAAGUGGGCUGAAUAAAUAUUUAACUUGAUUGGACAAAAAUAGCGAAAUUCAGCUGAAUAAUUUGUUACUCAAAUUUAUCAACGUUCAUUGUGUCAUCCAGUCAUACUCUAAGAGUAAAUUAAACACUCUCAAUUGGAGUAACUUAGAAUAAAAUAGUAAAAUAAAUAAAAUAACAAAACAAAUAAAUGUUAAAUACAGCUUAACUUAAUUUUUCUCUUCCAACAUAGUGAGAGAAUAAAGUGAUCUACUUACCUUCGGUCAAACUAAAUAUUGUAUUCAUUCAUAAUGUUUUUUCUUUGUGUAUACAGAUCUCACCCGCUAUACAUUUAUUGUUGUUUGCUAAAGAUAUAUAAAUAUUUAGUUUUAAAUAUAUUUAUUUGUUUUUAUAAAUACAAUAUUUUCAUUCUAUUUCACUUACAAUUUUGACAAUAUAAAACUCUCAUUGUCUAUAUAUUUAUCUUUCUUAUUUCGUCAUAUAACUUUACAUUUAUUUAAAUUAUUAUAUUUAUAAAAUGUGUGUUUAAUUAUAAUAUGUACUAUGCAAAAUAUAGUAAUAUAAUUUAAAUAUGUAUUCUAGUAGAAGAUAUAUAUAUAUAUCAUUAAAUUUUAAUGUUUUCAUAUAUUGAUUUCAAAAUUGUAGUAACAUGGUUUUAGUGCAAGAUUUAUUGUUGUUUAUAUAUUAUAUUUCUAUACUAUGUUUUAAUAUAUUUUAUUGCAAUUUUUAUUAUUUAAGCAUAUCUUUAUUUUAUUUGAACUAUUUUUAUCAAUGUUUUAAAAGCGGUGGAUAAGCGCCUUAUAGAGGAUUGCUGUUUAUGCAGAUACAUAGGACGGUUUUUUAAACGCCUAGACCAACUUUUUAAUAAAUCGGUUUGGAAAAACUGUUUCGUUCAUACCUGAUUUGUUGACUAGGUGGCACCUAAACCGAUUAUUAGAACACUUAUUUUUAUCAUUUAAAAUUAAAAUAAUUUUUUAAGUCUAUCUCUCUUGCAUGAUCCGUUUGAUCUGCGUAAUUUAUUUUGAUCUGCACCAUUUGAAUUGAUUCUAGGGAAAUAUGGGUAAUAGGUGCAAUAUAAAUAUAUUGUAGCUCCAAUAAUUUAUCAGCUAUUUACGAAUAUUCUUUUCUACUAAAAAGAGUAAAUAAAGAUUAUACUAAAAGAAGUCCAAAAGAGAGAGAGGGCUAGACCAGUACGGGUUACAUCAGCCAUCCCUAAGCACAGAUCCAGUCAAAGAGGCGGGUUCAUUACUCUCUUCUACCGAAAAUACUUCAAUAACUUUUUGAUCAAAAAAAAAGUUAUUUUACAACAAAAGUUAAUUCUUCUCCGAACCAUUUUAUUAUUAGAGAAAUAAUUUUACAAAAUAACUUUAACGAAAAAAUAAUCAAAAUAAAUUUCAUUAAAAAAUAAAUAACUAAAUAUAUAUUUAUAGCUUCAGAAUUAACUAGUUUAGAUUCAAGGUGUAGAGUUAAGAAAUUGAGUUUUGGAGAUGACAUUUUGUUUUUUUUUUAAAUUUAAAAUAAAUAUUAAAAUUUUAAAACCUGAAAAAAUCAAAAACAUAUAAUUCGAAACUAUCAAAAAGUUACUCUUAUAUGUUUUUUAAUUUUAGAAAACUUUUUUAUUAUUUGUUUAUAUUUGUAUAUCUACAAAACAAUAGGUAAAAUGUUUUUUUUUUUCCUUUUUAAUUAAAUCUUGUUUGGUCAUUUUCAUCUUUGAUAGCUCUUUUUACGACGAAAAAAAUAAAAUAGACUAUUUGAAAGAAUUGCUUUUAUUAUUGUUGUUAAUAUGAAGACAAUACCCCUAAUAAAGCAUUCUAAACCGAUAACAUUUUAUCAUUUAGUUUACUUAAAUUUAUGUUAUUUAUGAAAACUCUAGAAUUGAUCUUCACCAAUGGAGACCCAGCAUCACUCCGUGGUAUCUUCGCCACACUAGAUGAGUUCGCAGCGAUUUCGGGUCUCAUAAUAAACCCUGCAAAAUCGUUAAUCUUCAUGGCAGGAAGAAUCACUCAAGCUUUUCAAGCAGAGGUAAACCGACUGGGCAUACCAGUAGACAUUCUCCCAGUUCGAUAUCUUGGUCUUCCCCUUACUACAAAAUCAAUGUCUCGAGCAGACUACGAGCCU
Long non-coding RNA from Brassica napus (rape), 6785 nucleotides. RefSeq lists it as uncharacterized. The transcript is spliced from 3 exons. The record is from RefSeq and is a predicted model, not a curated record. NCBI's taxonomy places the organism in Eukaryota, Viridiplantae, Streptophyta, Magnoliopsida, Brassicales, Brassicaceae.